UUACCUCAGUAACGGCGAGUGAAGCGGUAACAGCUCAAAUUUGAAAUCUGGGUCUUUCAGGCUCCGAGUUGUAAUUUGUAGAAGAUGCUUCGGGUGCGGCUCCGGUCUAAGUUCCUUGGAACAGGACGUCAUAGAGGGUGAGAAUCCCGUAUGUGAUCGGUUGCUUGCGCCCAUGUGAAGCUCUUUCGACGAGUCGAGUUGUUUGGGAAUGCAGCUCAAAAUGGGUGGUAAAUUUCAUCUAAAGCUAAAUAUUGGCCAGAGACCGAUAGCGCACAAGUAGAGUGAUCGAAAGAUGAAAAGCACUUUGGAAAGAGAGUUAAACAGUACGUGAAAUUGUUGAAAGGGAAGCGCUUGCAACCAGACUUGCGCGUUGCCGAUCAUCUGGGGUUCUCCCCAGUGCACUCGGCCUCGCUCAGGCCAGCAUCGGUUUCGGUGGUGGGAUAAAGGCCUUGGGAAUGUAGCUUCUUUCGGGGAGUGUUAUAGCCCUCGGUGCAAUGCCGCCUACCGGGACCGAGGACCGCGCUUCGGCUAGGAUGCUGGCGUAAUGGUUGUAAGCGACCCGUCUUGAAACACGGACCAAGGAGUCUAACAUCUAUGCGAGUGUUUGGGUGUCAAACCCAUACGCGUAAUGAAAGUGAACGGAGGUGAGAACCCUUAAGGGUGCAUCAUCGACCGAUCCUGAUGUCUUCGGAUGGAUUUGAGUAAGAGCAUAGCUGUUGGGACCCGAAAGAUGGUGAACUAUGCCUGAAUAGGGUGAAGCCAGAGGAAACUCUGGUGGAGGCUCGCAGCGGUUCUGACGUGCAAAUCGAUCGUCCAAUUUGGGUAUCAGGGGCGAAAAGACUAAUCGAAACCAUCUAGUAGCUGGUUCCUGC
This 872-nucleotide ribosomal RNA is filed under the name Coleophoma cylindrospora. Its description in RNAcentral is "LSU rRNA". It matches the Rfam family "Eukaryotic large subunit ribosomal RNA", at positions 75 to 961 of the family's 3401-position model. The record is from RNAcentral. Lineage: Eukaryota; Fungi; Ascomycota; Leotiomycetes; Helotiales; Dermateaceae.